CGGUCGGUCGCGGCCGGGUGCCGCGGUGCGGCGUGUUCAGCGCCCUGUAGCUGUCCGGCCUGGAUUUACGCCGUGCUGCCCGCCCUGUGCGAGUGCUGAGGCCUUGAGAGGCAGCGGCGGAGGGAGCCUCAAGCGCCGCGGCUCGCCUGGUGCGGCGGUGGGGACAGGGCUGCCGUCCGUGGGCCCGUGGCACGUUUCUGUCCAUGGGUAUUGAAAAACCCGGUUCUGUCAGUGCAGCUGCUUGAGACUGCACAGGCGUCGUGUGAGUAAAGGCACAGGGCUUGGCGUGGCUGCGGCAGGUGUAAAACUUCUUGAGUCACUCUUGAGAGCGCAGGGGAAUUGGUGACCUGUGCACGGCACUAUGGGCUUUCAACUCGAAGUAAUAACUCCUGAACGCUGGUCAGAACAACCCUCAGUACCAUUCCAGGUCGGGGAACGAUAAUAUUGAGAGCAGCCCUGCAGAGAAGGACUUGAGAGUACUGGCGGAUGAGAAGUUUGACAUGAGCCAGCAAGCCCAAAUGUCAUUCUGGGCCGCGUCAAAAGAAGCGUCGCCAGCAGGGUUUGGCUGUACAUCCAAAGCCCUGCCCUGUGAAGCCAGGAUGAGGGGAAGCGGAGAAGCUGUGAUAGAGGGAAUCAGGGGAAGACAUCUCCCUGCUCCCAGGGCUGUCGUUGGUGGACUCAGGCAAGUCCUUCUCCCAGGCUGCAUGCCCUGCCAGCUCUGUCCAGAUGAAGGGGUUGAAAGAACAUUGAAACUAGAGGGAAGGCAAUAGAUCAAGUAUGUGAAAAAGCAAUGCAUGCUCUGCCUCUCUUGUGAAAAAGGUAGAUCUAGUUUCUGGAAAGUUUUGGAGGCACACAGCCUAUUAAAUCUUCUGCACAUGUUGCUGGCAACAUUAAAGUUGCUU
This is a long non-coding RNA of Pogoniulus pusillus (Red-fronted tinkerbird), 902 nucleotides long. RefSeq lists it as uncharacterized. Lineage: Eukaryota; Metazoa; Chordata; Aves; Piciformes; Lybiidae. The transcript is spliced from 3 exons. The record is from RefSeq and is a predicted model, not a curated record.